UGCCUUUGUGUUGCCCGUUCACUUUUGGAAACUAGUGAAUGUGGUGUCAAGAAAGGCAUAAACUAAACACUUUGCAGUCCUUUCCUGCCCUUGAAUAUAUCUUUGGUGUAGGAGCUGCAUAAGUAACAGUG
Molecule: small nucleolar RNA, 131 nt
Organism: Artibeus jamaicensis (Jamaican fruit-eating bat)
Lineage: Eukaryota; Metazoa; Chordata; Mammalia; Chiroptera; Phyllostomidae
Product: small nucleolar RNA SNORA13
Exons: 1
Source: RefSeq, a predicted model, not a curated record